UUUCUGUUGCGAACUUAAUCAGGAAGGGAUAUCUCCAAACCUGACAUUUGGACCUCAUUUUGGAAUGGAUGUUAGUCACCAACAUGAACUGCCUAAUCAACCAAGGAUGAUGCCGAACAACUUUAUGCAGGUUUUUGCUAUGCACAGAUCUUCAUAAUAUUCUAUGAACAACCGUGCUGAUUUAUAAUAUUCUAUGACCUGACAUUUGGACCUCAUUUUGGAAUGGAUGUUAGUCACCAACAUGAAAUGCCUAAUCAACCAAGGAUGAUGCCGAACAACAUAUUCCUCUUUGUUUUCAACCUUUUAGUUACUAUAAACAACCAUGCUGAUUUAUAUGUUAACCAUCUUCUCCUUGUGCAUUUCCGACUAGUGGGAUCAAUGCCUUUCUGUUUAAAACGUUUCAGGUACAAGCAGAUCCCCAUGUUUUCGGAAAUCAGUGGGCUUACAACCCAACGAUGCAGGUCUGUCCGCACACAAAUGACUGUCCCUUUUUUCUUGCAACCUUGAAACUUAUUAGCCUAUGUUUUAAGAUGCAUGCUAGUUCACAUUUUC
RNAcentral lists this long non-coding RNA (552 nucleotides) under Hordeum vulgare. Its description in RNAcentral is "long non-coding RNA (HVUL_LNC011266)". Lineage: Eukaryota; Viridiplantae; Streptophyta; Magnoliopsida; Poales; Poaceae. The record is from RNAcentral.